CCCUUAGAUGUUCUGGGCCGCACGCGCGCUACACUGAUGCAUUCAACGAGUCUAAAACCUGCUCUGAUAGGGGUGGGUAAUCUUUUGAAUGUGCAUCGUGAUUGGGAUAGAUGAUUGCAAUUUUUCAUCUUCAACGAGGAAUGCCUAGUAAACGCAAGUCAUCAGCUUGCAUUGAUUACGUCCCUGCCCUUUGUACACACCGCCCGUCGCUCCUACCGAUUGAAUGAUCCGAUGAAUAUCAUGGAUUGAGGAUGCAAGUAGGUUGGCCUAUCUUCAUCUUCGAGAAGUGAAGUAAAUCUUAUCAUUUAGAGGAAGGAGAAGUCGUAACA
This 329-nucleotide ribosomal RNA is filed under the name uncultured eukaryote. RNAcentral describes it as "partial 18S ribosomal RNA". It matches the Rfam family "Eukaryotic small subunit ribosomal RNA", at positions 1470 to 1796 of the family's 1831-position model. The record is from RNAcentral.